CCCGAUCUGACGUGGGAGCGGCCAGAUCCGUGCGUCUCCGCCUCGCUCCGCGCGCCUCCAUGGUCUACCGUCUUCUCGAGCGCCGGUGCCGCGCUCAGCCGCCGCCAUCCCAUGCCAUGGUUGCCUCCCUCCAGAACGACCUGCCAUGGCCGCCUCCCUGCCUCUCCCGCAAGUGGGCCUCUGCACGACCAGAUCCGUUCCUCUGCGCCUCGCUCCGCGCGCCAUGAUGGUCCUCCGUCUUCCCGAGCGCCGGCGCCGUGCGCAGCCGCCGCCGCCCCAUGCCAUGGUCGCCUUCCUCCAGAACACCGUGCCAUGGCCGCCUCCCUGCCUCUCCCGCAAGUGGGCCUCUGCGCCCCCGGCCUAGCAGAUUAAUGGAGGGCGCUGCCGACGUCGGGACAUGCCUCGGUUCACCUGCUUCCUGAUGUCCAAUUAUUUUUUGUUGUUGCUAUAUUCAACCUCAUCUCUGAAAGCCUACACCUUCCUGUGCUGUUGCUAUAUUCACGAGUUUGACAGGAGAAGGGACUGGAGGCAUACAGUAGGCAGAACAGUGGAACAAAACUCAGCUUCAAUUAAUCGACAUGGUGUUCGCAAAUGGAAAGUCGUUCCUGCUGCUACAGUUCAUUGGUUCAAGUCCGACACUGAGCUCACAAUGGACGUUGAGUUGGUGGACACAAUGGACAAUAAGCCCAUGAAGCUCCAGAAGUCCAGAUUUGGAUACGGUAUUUCCCUUUCUAUCUAAAAUCUACCAUAGAAAUUUGUACUAGCUGCAUAUACAUCAAAAGAGGUGGCACACUUGAAACUACUUCAGGAACAGUUUAGUUGUCAAAGGCAAAUAACCAUUUUUAGUGGUCGUUACAUUAAACCUAGGACGAGAUGCAUAUAGAGUUCUGUUAUGGCUACUACGAUACAGAUGUCAACGCAAAGUAUUUCCUCUUUUCUAUGAAAAGGUUUACAUUAUAAGGAUAAUCGAGUAUAAUAAUAUGGAUGAAAAUAUUGCUCUCCUGCUAGGUCUUAGAAGUUAGAAUCCACAAAGUUAGGUUAAUUAUAGUAAUUAUGACCCCACUUAUGCCUUCUCUUUACGCAUUAAGAUGUGUCGCUCCUUUAAAAAAAUAAGAUAUUGAUUCUUGUGUUUUGAAGUCUUGGAUGUGACUAAUUGUAUGACAUGCCGAUAUCUGGCGAGCCUGGUGUGUUCUGUUUUCUCACACCCGCCGCCGUCGCACAAGGUGAUUGUUGGACGUGAGCGAGCUUCAGGAGCACUUCCUACAGGUUGUCGGCCGUUCACAAGUACUUCCUUUCAAGCCGAAUGGGCUCUUUAUUUUACUGAUCUGGACACACCACCUUCUCAGGUCUAAAAUUUUGAGUUUUCAGGUCUAAAAUGUAACUGAUGUAAAGAUUUGUCCAUCCCUUGACAGAAUCCGACUUUUUUUCCAGCUGGUGCACUGAGGGAGGCGUUUGAUGUAGCAACUGCCUUUAAAAAACAAUGCCAUGAUUGAUUCAUUCCCCACUGGUAUAUUCAAAGUUCUAGGUCUAUACAUCAAUACAUGUAUAUUGCUUCUAAAGAUCUUGCAAAUUUGGAAGCUAAAAUUAGAUAAAAUGAUAUAAGUUUUUAGGUUAAUUCUAAUGUAAUGCAAUUUCAACUUCCUCUGGACUCUUGAAAGUAACUAUUUUGUUUGCCUGCAGUAUGUUCGUCCAGCAGAGGAUGCUCUUCAGUGGAAAAUUCUGAAACCUUAUUCAGCUUUGAUGUAUAGCUGGCACAGUUUGUUAAUAAUCUCUAUGAACAUUUGUACAAAUGGAAUGAAGAGCUCAAGGGAGCAAAAGGAACAAGGAGAAAGGAGCGCUCAAGAGAAGUGAACUCAAAGUCCAAGAUGCAAUCUUCACAUAGC
This is an RNA transcript of Triticum aestivum (bread wheat), 1883 nucleotides long. RefSeq lists it as uncharacterized. The record is from RefSeq and is a predicted model, not a curated record. Lineage: Eukaryota; Viridiplantae; Streptophyta; Magnoliopsida; Poales; Poaceae. The transcript is spliced from 6 exons.